CGGGGUGAGUAACACGUGGAUAACCUACCUAUAAGACUGGGAUAACUUCGGGAAACCGGAGCUAAUACCGGAUAAUAUAUUGAACCGCAUGGUUCAAUAGUGAAAGACGGUUUUGCUGUCACUUAUAGAUGGAUCCGCGCCGCAUUAGCUAGUUGGUAAGGUAACAGCUUACCAAGGCAACGAUGCGUAGCCGACCUGAGAGGGUGAUCGGCCACACUGGAACUGAGACACGGUCCAG
This 238-nucleotide ribosomal RNA is filed under the name uncultured bacterium. Its description in RNAcentral is "partial 16S ribosomal RNA". It matches the Rfam family "Bacterial small subunit ribosomal RNA", at positions 104 to 334 of the family's 1533-position model. The record is from RNAcentral.